CAGCAGUGCUGCAAGCAUCUCAGCCUCUAUCCACCGCCAAACAGGUCAUCUGGCACAGACUAUUAAAUGACUAGCACUUCCCGUUCUCAGGGUGAUGUAUCUGCUUCCUGAUGGUGUUGGCUCUGACUAUCUUCCUACUUCCACCCAGUGGCUCCAGCUGUGGCUGCCAAGAAAACCCCAGCUGAUGGAGGAUGAGAGGUGAAAUCAGGACACACAAAGACCUGUUACCAUCAUCUUUCACCUGGAUUCUCCUAAAGCAACAGCUGCUCAUCUCAUCACUCUGAGUUACUAAUCCUUCUUUCUGAGACAAAAGCCCAAAAGGCAAAUGGGAAAUGACUUGUCAGAUGACAUCACCAAUAAUUGAACAUAAAGCAGACUCAAAUUAGGACAAAAUCUUUUGUAUUUACUCAGUUUAUAUCAGUAAUAUGAUUAUCUCAAAGUUCUAACAAAGCAGUCUGCCACAAGGGGUAAC
Molecule: long non-coding RNA, 472 nt
Filed under: Homo sapiens (human)
Lineage: Eukaryota; Metazoa; Chordata; Mammalia; Primates; Hominidae
Description: HSALNT0326195
Source: RNAcentral